This 561-nucleotide long non-coding RNA is filed under the name Carica papaya (papaya). RNAcentral describes it as "long non-coding RNA (CPAP_LNC008535)". The record is from RNAcentral. Lineage: Eukaryota; Viridiplantae; Streptophyta; Magnoliopsida; Brassicales; Caricaceae.
GCCGCGUAUUCCGGCCGUUUGGCCGGGAUUUCGGUUUCGAUUUGGCCAUAGGAGGAAUCAGUGCGGAAAAACGAGUCGGGGGUAUGAAAUUUACCUCGAUCGGCGGUCGGAAAUUUCCCCGGUGCGGCGGCGAGUGGCGGCGGGUGGCGGCGGUCGGCCUCUGGUUCGUCUUCUCCGGCGAGCGGCUGGCGGCUAGGGUUUGUGGUCUGGUGUGGGGGUUCUAUUUAUAACCCCUUGCCUUUUGAUCACAGCCGUUCAUUUUGUUUUAAUCUGGGCCGUUCGUUUUUGAUUGAAUUUGGGCCGUCCGUGCGAUUGAAUUUGGGCCGUCCGAUCGCGUGAUUGAUUUGGGCCGUCGGAUCGCACCCACGCGGAUCGCCAACGUGGCUCCUUUCGGAGUGACGCGAUCUUGCCACGUGGCAGGCACUGGUUGGCCGGGACUGCUGACGUGGCUGCUGACGCGGCUGCUGACGUGGCCCCCCCUUUUUUUUUUUUUUUUUUUUUUUUUUUUUUUUUUUUUUUUUUUUUUUUUUUUUUUCUUCCCCUCCUCCUUUCCGGGUGCUA